This 77-nucleotide transfer RNA is filed under the name Clostridium sp. MD294. RNAcentral describes it as "tRNA-Arg". It matches the Rfam family "tRNA". Rfam says of the family: Transfer RNA (tRNA) molecules are approximately 80 nucleotides in length. The record is from RNAcentral. Lineage: Bacteria; Bacillati; Bacillota; Clostridia; Eubacteriales; Clostridiaceae.
UGUGAGCAUAGCUCAGCUGGAUAGAGCGUCUGACUACGGAUCAGAAGGCCGGGAGUUCGAAUCUUCUUGCUCACAUC